AACCCAUGGUGAGGGCAUUCCCUCAAAAGGUCCUUGUAUCUCUCCCAUGCAUCGUAAAGUGUUUCUAAAUCCAUCUGCACAAAAGAAGAGAUAUCAUUAUGUAAUGUA
This is a small nucleolar RNA of Gossypium arboreum, 108 nucleotides long. It matches the Rfam family "Plant small nucleolar RNA R71". Rfam says of the family: R71 is a member of the C/D box family of snoRNAs containing the C (UGAUGA) and D (CUGA) box motifs. Multiple nearly identical copies of this snoRNA have been identified in Arabidopsis, and it is thought to function as a 2'-O-ribose methylation guide for 18S ribosomal RNA. Lineage: Eukaryota; Viridiplantae; Streptophyta; Magnoliopsida; Malvales; Malvaceae. The record is from Rfam.